Molecule: long non-coding RNA, 502 nt
Organism: Telopea speciosissima
Lineage: Eukaryota; Viridiplantae; Streptophyta; Magnoliopsida; Proteales; Proteaceae
Exons: 2
Source: RefSeq, a predicted model, not a curated record
CAUCAGCACAGACACUGGUCACCGAUCUCUUCACAAGAGAAAUUCUUGACACAUCCCCACCAAGUUCCUCGAAAAGUACAAGAAGAUUUUGGGUUGGGUUUAACCAAGAGCGUGGAACAUGAUGAUUACCAUUGCUGGGUUGGUUGGCCGCAUCCAGUUUGACACUUAGGAGGUCUGAAUGUUCCAGAAUAACUACAUCCAUUGCAAUUACCAUUUGCCCAAGCUGUCCAAUAUCUACCUAUGCUCUGCCCAUUGAUCCAUACUUGACCCUUCCCCAUACUCCCCAAGUCUAAUGCCAAUGGUUCAUCUCCUUCAGGUGCAUUAAAAUAAGACUGCACGUGGCACAGAGAGUUAGCUAAACUCCUAAUGCAUAUAAAAUAAACUGCAGCACUAGCUUGGACUCUUACUGUCACUGGUAUUCUUACCUUAAACCAUGUCAAUGGCUGCUGCUUCUGUGCAACUAAUGAUGCACUCAUCCAUUCAACAGAAGAAAUUCCAUUUG